AUCGCAUUUUGUUGUAAAAUUUCUUUUGAACACAGUAUAAAAUGGUUUGUGAAGUGAGGACUAUUGCUUAUUGAUUCAAUUUCUCGUUUCCAGUCUGUGCGCGAGAUUUCUCCAAGUUGUUUUGUGAAGAAGCUGAACAAAAGAAAUUGAAAAAGGGAAUUUGCCAUUGAAAUUGAGAAUUGCAAUAGGAUCUGCAGAGGAAGGUGAACCAUGGUAAUGGUGAGUCUUCAUUCUCCUCACAAAACGGUGUAGUUUAACAAAUAUUUUCUUUUCUUUUAUAUUUUUCAUUUCAGUUUAUUUUUAUUGGAUUUUAUAUUUCAUUUAAUAUUCAUGCGGCAUAAAAUAUUGAUAUUAUAUUAUUAAUUUUGACACCGUUUAUUUUUUUUAUUCUUUCCAUCAAAUAAUAGCUCAGUACAAAAAAAAUAUAUAGACUCAACGUAAUCAAAUCAAAAUGUAGGUAAUUUAUUAUUUGAUUCUGAAUUUUGAUCGAUAUUACGAUUUAGUCUUAUAUUUUGAAAAUUGAAUUAUUUAGUCUUUUACUUAUAUUUUCAUCAAAAUUAGAGAUCAUUUUGUCUAAUGUUGCUAUUAGUUUAAGUGAAAAGAUAAAU
RNAcentral lists this unclassified non-coding RNA (608 nucleotides) under Hevea brasiliensis (rubber tree). The record is from RNAcentral. Lineage: Eukaryota; Viridiplantae; Streptophyta; Magnoliopsida; Malpighiales; Euphorbiaceae.